This 213-nucleotide long non-coding RNA is filed under the name Elaeis guineensis (African oil palm). RNAcentral describes it as "long non-coding RNA (EGUI_LNC018372)". The record is from RNAcentral. Lineage: Eukaryota; Viridiplantae; Streptophyta; Magnoliopsida; Arecales; Arecaceae.
CUUGAGUUUUCUGAGAAUGUCUCAGAUCUAAAACUCCUUCUCCUACUUCUCAUCUUUAGAAGAGUCUAAAUUAAGAAGAAGAAGGCAUCUGAUCGACCAUCGAAGAAGGAUAAGCGUAGUACUAGCAUACUAUGCUGAUUUUCUGGACAAUAACUUUUGAUCGUGAUUCAUGGGCUCGUAUGGAUGACUCCUAGAGGUCGGAUACAUGUGCAG